This is a small nucleolar RNA of Nyctereutes procyonoides (raccoon dog), 127 nucleotides long. RefSeq annotates it as U8 small nucleolar RNA. The transcript has a single exon. The record is from RefSeq and is a predicted model, not a curated record. NCBI's taxonomy places the organism in Eukaryota, Metazoa, Chordata, Mammalia, Carnivora, Canidae.
UCGUCGGGUAGGAUCAUCCUUACCUGUUCCCCCUUUGGGAGGGCAGAUGCGAACGUGAUGAUCGGAUCUUGUAUGAUUCGUGGUUAGUGUCUCGGCGUGGCCAGGACCCUGGUCACUCCUGUAUGAU